GAGAUUAAGAAGAAAGAUAAGAUGGGAGGAUGGGAGGGAGGAGUAACAAAACUGAAAACAAAAACUAAAAACUGAAAUCAAUUUCAAAUUGUUUUCACUUUUGUUACUCCUCUCUUCCAUCCUCCCCUCUCAUCAUCUCUUUCAAUCUCAU
RNAcentral lists this microRNA precursor (151 nucleotides) under Prunus dulcis (almond). RNAcentral describes it as "sRNA ncRNA". Lineage: Eukaryota; Viridiplantae; Streptophyta; Magnoliopsida; Rosales; Rosaceae. The record is from RNAcentral.